Molecule: ribosomal RNA, 800 nt
Filed under: uncultured bacterium
Lineage: Bacteria
Description: bacterial SSU rRNA
Rfam family: Bacterial small subunit ribosomal RNA
Source: RNAcentral
AGAGUUUGAUCCUGGCUCAGAUUGAACGCUGGCGGCAUGCCUUACACAUGCAAGUCGAACGGUAACAGGUCUUCGGAUGCUGACGAGUGGCGAACGGGUGAGUAAUACAUCGGAACGUGCCCAGUAAUGGGGGAUAGCUCGGCGAAAGCCGGAUUAAUACCGCAUACGCCCUGAGGGGGAAAGUGGGGGACCGCAAGGCCUCACGUUAUUGGAGCGGCCGAUGGCUGAUUAGCUAGUUGGUAGGGUAAAGGCCUACCAAGGCGACGAUCAGUAGCUGGUCUGAGAGGACGAUCAGCCACACUGGGACUGAGACACGGCCCAGACUCCUACGGGAGGCAGCAGUGGGGAAUUUUGGACAAUGGGGGAAACCCUGAUCCAGCAAUGCCGCGUGUGCGAAGAAGGCCUUCGGGUUGUAAAGCACUUUUGUCAGGGAAGAAAUCCUUUGGGCUAACACCCUAGGGGGAUGACGGUACCUGAAGAAUAAGCACCGGCUAACUACGUGCCAGCAGCCGCGGUAAUACGUAGGGUGCAAGCGUUAAUCGGAAUUACUGGGCGUAAAGCGUGCGCAGGCGGUUGUGUAAGACAGGUGUGAAAUCCCCGGGCUUAACCUGGGAAUUGCAUUUGUGACUGCACGACUAGAGUGUGUCAGAGGGGGGUGGAAUUCCACGUGUAGCAGUGAAAUGCGUAGAUAUGUGGAGGAACACCAAUGGCGAAGGCAGCCCCCUGGGAUAACACUGACGCUCAUGCACGAAAGCGUGGGGAGCAAACAGGAUUAGAUACCCUGGUAGUCCACGCCCUAA